UAGGGAAUCUUCGGCAAUUGACGAAAGUCUGACCGAGCAACGCCGCGGGAGUGAAGAAGGUUCUCGGAUCGGAAAACUCUUUUGUUAGAGAAGAACAAGGACGUUAGUAACUGAACGUCCCCUGACGGUAUCUAACCAGAAAGCCACGGCUAACUACGUGCCAGCAGCCGCGGUAAUACGUAGGUGGCAAGCGUUGUCCGGAUUUAUUGGGCGUAAAGCGAGCGCAGGCGGUUUCUUAAGUCUGAUGUGAAAGCCCCCGGCUCAACCGGGGAGGGUCAUUGGAAACUGGGAGACUUGAGUGCAGAAGAGGAGAGUGGAAUUCCAUGUGUAGCGGUGAAAUGCGUAGAUAUAUGGAGGAACACCAGUGGCGAAGGCGGCUCUCUGGUCUGUACCUGACGCUGAGGCUCGAAAGCGUGGGGAGCAAACGGG
RNAcentral lists this ribosomal RNA (429 nucleotides) under Gemmatimonadota bacterium. RNAcentral's name for it is "Gemmatimonadetes bacterium partial 16S ribosomal RNA". It matches the Rfam family "Bacterial small subunit ribosomal RNA", at positions 355 to 776 of the family's 1533-position model. Lineage: Bacteria; Pseudomonadati; Gemmatimonadota. The record is from RNAcentral.